Anneissia japonica is the source of this 807-nucleotide long non-coding RNA. RefSeq lists it as uncharacterized. NCBI's taxonomy places the organism in Eukaryota, Metazoa, Echinodermata, Crinoidea, Comatulida, Comatulidae. The record is from RefSeq and is a predicted model, not a curated record. The transcript is spliced from 2 exons.
CUCGCACAUUUAUUUUUAUAGCCCAUCGAGAACAAAUCUCUCAUUGGUUAAAAAGGACAACAAAAGUGUAAAAAAAAUAUGCAUAACAAUAUCCACUUCAAACACGAGAGAUUUUAUGUCAUUGUUCAAACAGUGUACCAGUCAAGAUAGUUCUAUUAUUUGACAUUGUAAUAGCCUUGUGGUAUUGUCAAUCUCAUUCGUGCGGUUUAAAGGUAUACGCCUGCUCGACAGAAAACGAUUUUAUUUUCUAUAUAACUGUGGGAUAAUCGUAGCAUUUGGAAUUCAUUUGUUGGUUCGCAGUGGACACACCCUGAAGCUGUAUCAGUUGUACGAUCAACGUUGGUAUAGCAUUUCGUUUUAAGGGCCUUUAUCAAUAGCAGUAAGGGCAUCAAGUAUUAUACUUUGUCAUUUGUACACAAUGCCAGUGAAUCCGGACAAGUCAGGUCCAACAUCGGUUCAGACGUCGGGAGACAAAGAGCCGCCUAAGGGGUUGAAGCCGCCUAAGGGUGAUGAAGCUACCCAAGAAACGAAACAAUAAUGCAUACUGAAAUUACAUAUAAGGAAAAUAACUUUCAACGAAUUAUACACCUUUCAUCAAUGACAGUGCAUCCUUGUUCGAAUAAAAUAAGAGCCGCAGGCCUAUUUUAAUUUUUAAAAUUGCUUGUAAACACGGAUGACGUGGACAAAGUCAGCAUCAUCAGUGUACCAGUCAACAUUGGAGAUGCCAAUCAUUUAACAUUAAAUAUAUAUAUAUAUAUAAAUAGAUGUAUCAUUAUUUUGUCAACAUGCACCAAUAUAAAUUUAAUG